CAUUAGGUGGCUGAGAGAUAGGCAAUAGAUUGUAAAUCUAUUUACGGGUGGUUCCCCCUGACUA
RNAcentral lists this transfer RNA (64 nucleotides) under Notostomus gibbosus. RNAcentral's name for it is "tRNA-Tyr". Lineage: Eukaryota; Metazoa; Arthropoda; Malacostraca; Decapoda; Oplophoridae. The record is from RNAcentral.